GUGAACGCUGGCGGUAGGCCUAACACAUGCAAGUCGAACGGCAGCACAGUAAGAGCUUGCUCUUACGGGUGGCGAGUGGCGGACGGGUGAGGAAUACAUCGGAAUCUACUUUUUCGUGGGGGAUAACGUAGGGAAACUUACGCUAAUACCGCAUACGACCUACGGGUGAAAGCAGGGGAUCUUCGGACCUUGCGCGAUUGAAUGAGCCGAUGUCGGAUUAGCUAGUUGGCGGGGUAAAGGCCCACCAAGGCGACGAUCCGUAGCUGGUCUAAGAGGAUGAUCAGCCACACUGGAACUGAGACACGGUCCAGACUCCUACGGGAGGCAGCAGUGGGGAAUAUUGGACAAUGGGCGCAAGCCUGAUCCAGCCAUACCGCGUGGGUGAAGAAGGCCUUCGGGUUGUAAAGCCCUUUUGUUGGGAAAGAAAAGCAGCAGGUUAAUACCCCGCUGUUCUGACGGUACCCAAAGAAUAAGCACCGGCUAACUUCGUG
RNAcentral lists this ribosomal RNA (491 nucleotides) under uncultured bacterium. Its description in RNAcentral is "partial 16S ribosomal RNA". It matches the Rfam family "Bacterial small subunit ribosomal RNA", at positions 29 to 507 of the family's 1533-position model. The record is from RNAcentral.